This 490-nucleotide ribosomal RNA is filed under the name uncultured bacterium. Its description in RNAcentral is "partial 16S ribosomal RNA". It matches the Rfam family "Bacterial small subunit ribosomal RNA", at positions 29 to 507 of the family's 1533-position model. The record is from RNAcentral.
AGUGAACGCUGGCGGUAGGCCUAACACAUGCAAGUCGAACGGCAGCACGGGAGACCUUCCCCUCUGGGUGGCGCGUGGGGGAGGGGUGUGGAAUACAUCGGAACUUCCCCAGUCGUGGGGGUUACCGUGGGAAACCUUACCCUAUUCCCGCUUACAACCUUCGGGUGAAGGAGGGGGAUCGCAAGACCUCUCGCCUUUGGAUGAUCCGAUGCCGGAUUAGCUAGUUAGUGGGGUAAUGGCCCACCAAGGCGACGAUCCGUAGCUGGUCUGAGAGGAUGAUCAGCCACACUGGAACUGAGACACGGUCCAGACUCCUACGGGAGGCAGCAGUGGGGAAUAUUGGACAAUGGGCGAAAGCCUGAUCCAGCAAUACCGCGUGGGUGAAGAAGGCCUUCGGGUUGUAAAGCCCUGUUGUUGGGAAAGAAAUAAUUCAGGAUAAUACCCUGGGAGGAUGACGGUACCCAAAGAAUAAGCACCGGCUAACUUCGUG